UCCCCUUCCCCUUCUGCCAUGAUUCUAAGUUUCCUGAGGCCUUCCUAGAAGCCGAGCAGAUGCCAGCAUCAUGCUCCCUGUACGGGCUAUGGAACCAUGGCUGUACCGCAGUUCAGGUCUUUGUGACUCAUCUGGAUGCUGUCGAAGAGACAGAGCUGGACACCGGUUAAAAGUGGCAUUCAAAGCUAUGCCUUUUCCUCUCAGCACUGCUUUAGCUGCAUCCCACAGCAUUUUUUCAGCUUUAAAAUAUUCUAACAACCCACAUUCCAAGAUUCACAUCUAUCCCAAGGUUCCCUGGCUCCUAAAUGGCUCAUGCAAAUCUUGAAGGAGUCUCUACUUUUUGAGGAGGAAAACAGCUCUUUAAUCUGGACUCCACGAUGUUGUUGAAAACACGCUUGCAGAGAUCCCGUGAAGAGAGUGAAAAGUCAAGCCACAAACUGGGAGAAGACAUUUGCAUUAUGUCUUGUCUCAAAGGACUCAUAUUCGGAAUAUAUAAAGAACCCUCACAAAUCAAUAAGCCAGGGUUCUAAAGGUCCAGUUUGGCUUAGCUGAUCCUCCAUUCAAGACUUGGAUAAAUGACUCUGCUUCAGGCUGUUGGAUUGGUUGGGUUCUGUCGGUGCCAAAUCCAAGGUUGGGUUUACUCUGCUCCACAUUUGAUAAUUCUCAGGAUAAGGAGCCAGAGUAAGAAAAGAUAGAGGGUGAGACAGCUGUCACAAGAUCUCCAGAAAGUGG
RNAcentral lists this long non-coding RNA (732 nucleotides) under Homo sapiens (human). Its description in RNAcentral is "HSALNT0396199". The record is from RNAcentral. Lineage: Eukaryota; Metazoa; Chordata; Mammalia; Primates; Hominidae.